AGCGAACGCUGGCGGCAGGCUUAACACAUGCAAGUCGAGCGCCCCGCAAGGGGAGCGGCAGAUGGGAGAGUAACACGUGGGAACAUACCUUUUGGUUCGGAACAACUGAGGGAAACUUCAGCUAAUACCGGAUAAGCCCUUACGGGGAAAGAUUUAUCGCCGAAAGAUUGGCCCGCGUCUGAUUAGCUAGUUGGUGAGGUAACGGCUCACCAAGGCGACGAUCAGUAGCUGGUCUGAGAGGAUGAUCAGCCUCACUGGGACUGAGACACGGCCCAGACUCCUACGGGAGGCAGCAGUGGGGAAUAUUGGACAAUGGGGGCAACCCUGAUCCAGCCAUGCCGCGUGAGUGAUGAAGGCCUUAGGGUUGUAAAGCUCUUUUGCCCGGGAAGAUAAUGACGGUACCGGGAGAAUAAGCCCCGGCUAACUUCGUG
Molecule: ribosomal RNA, 431 nt
Filed under: uncultured bacterium
Lineage: Bacteria
Description: partial 16S ribosomal RNA
Rfam family: Bacterial small subunit ribosomal RNA
Source: RNAcentral